GCAGCGCCAUGUUUGCGCUGUCGGACACCGACAGUCUGCCUCUCUUUGUGCCUGGUAUGUGCCUGAUUGCCUUUGGCGGACCAGGCACGCAGAACGCCAUCAUC
This 104-nucleotide non-coding RNA is filed under the name Spumella elongata. Lineage: Eukaryota; Chrysophyceae; Chromulinales; Chromulinaceae. The record is from RNAcentral.